Molecule: transfer RNA, 66 nt
Filed under: Sphaerodactylus townsendi
Lineage: Eukaryota; Metazoa; Chordata; Lepidosauria; Squamata; Sphaerodactylidae
Description: tRNA-Ala
Rfam family: tRNA
About the family: Transfer RNA (tRNA) molecules are approximately 80 nucleotides in length.
Source: RNAcentral
GUGGCUUAGUGGUAGAGCAUCUGCUUGGCAUGCGGACACUCCCAGGUUCGAUUCCAGGCAUCUCCA